RNAcentral lists this transfer RNA (93 nucleotides) under Bilophila wadsworthia. RNAcentral's name for it is "tRNA-Ser". It matches the Rfam family "tRNA". From Rfam's summary of the family: Transfer RNA (tRNA) molecules are approximately 80 nucleotides in length. Their secondary structure includes four short double-helical elements and three loops (D, anti-codon, and T loops). The record is from RNAcentral. RNAcentral also lists the same sequence under 5 other names. Lineage: Bacteria; Pseudomonadati; Thermodesulfobacteriota; Desulfovibrionia; Desulfovibrionales; Desulfovibrionaceae.
GGAGAGGUGGCCGAGACGGCCGAAGGCGCUCGCCUGCUAAGCGGGUAUACGGAUAAAACUGUAUCGAGGGUUCGAAUCCCUCCCUCUCCGCCA